GACAGAGGAUGCAAGCGUUAAUCGGAAUUACUGGGCGUAAAGCGCGCGUAGGUGGUUUGUUAAGUUGGAUGUGAAAUCCCCGGGCUCAACCUGGGAACUGCAUUCAAAACUGACAAGCUAGAGUAUGGUAGAGGGUGGUGGAAUUUCCUGUGUAGCGGUGAAAUGCGUAGAUAUAGGAAGGAACACCAGUGGCGAAGGCGACCACCUGGACUGAUACUGACACUGAGGUGCGAAAGCAUGGGGAGCGAACGGG
RNAcentral lists this ribosomal RNA (253 nucleotides) under uncultured bacterium. RNAcentral describes it as "partial 16S ribosomal RNA". It matches the Rfam family "Bacterial small subunit ribosomal RNA", at positions 524 to 776 of the family's 1533-position model. The record is from RNAcentral.